Neolamprologus brichardi is the source of this 548-nucleotide non-coding RNA. The record is from RefSeq and is a predicted model, not a curated record. NCBI's taxonomy places the organism in Eukaryota, Metazoa, Chordata, Actinopteri, Cichliformes, Cichlidae.
UUACUUCAUUUGCCGCAAAAACAGUCACGAUAGAAUCGUGCAGGCACGCUGGUGGCUAACAAAUAGACCGCGGACUGCUGGUAAAUAAAUAUUAGAAAGCGUGUUAGCAUUGUCAAAGUUGAUUUUAAACAUUUCAGACAUUAAAACUGGACCUACGUGAAGCCAGCGGGCUGAGGAAACCGCGAGUCAUCACUCGCUGACGCUGCCCAAAGACAAGUACCACCCGUAAACAUUAACACAUCUAAAGCUAACUGUUAGCAGACCGACACACGCCCCGGAGGACUGCUUUUAAAUAUUUACUGACAGCCUUUUCCUUUCGUGGCACAGCAUAACAGGAGACCUCCGGUGGAGCCAAGAUAUGCAGUCGUCAGAGCAGCACUGACAGGCCUAACUCUGGUUUGACACAACCAUGGAGUCCUCCUCCGAGUCCCAGCAGGAACCUGAGAAAACUUUGCAGCACGCAGAGUUGAGAGAGCAGCAUGCCACCUCCGGUAAGCCAGUGACCUUUCAGAGGAAGGGCUAAGGCCAGUGUACCCAGUCAGCAAACU